AGAAGAAGCACCGGCUAACUCCGUGCCAGCAGCCGCGGUAAUACGGAGGGUGCGAGCGUUAAUCGGAAUUACUGGGCGUAAAGCGCAUGCAGGUGGUUUGUUAAGUCAGAUGUGAAAGCCCGGGGCUCAACCUCGGAAUUGCAUUUGAAACUGGCAAACUAGAGUACUGUAGAGGGGGUAGAAUUUCAGGUGUAGCGGUGAAAUGCGUAGAGAUCUGAAGGAAUACCGGUGGCGAAGGCGGCCCCCCUGGACAGAUACUGACACUCAGAUGCGAAAGCGUGGGGAGCAAACCAGGAUUAGAUACCCUCGGGAG
Molecule: ribosomal RNA, 313 nt
Filed under: uncultured bacterium
Lineage: Bacteria
Description: bacterial SSU rRNA
Rfam family: Bacterial small subunit ribosomal RNA
Source: RNAcentral